GGAGCGCGCGCAGGAGCGUGAGGGCGGCGGGAGCCGCGCCGGUAAUAACGGGGACACGGCGGGGCCGGGCAGGUUUUCCAGGAGAAAAAAAGAAAGAAAAACUCAGGAAACCCCUGGAGCGCUGCCCUGUCACCAUGGGCUCCACAGUGUGGGAAUGUGGGUGAAAACUCAAGAUUUAAUUCACACCAGAGGACUGAGAAGGGGCAAAAAAAGAGGAA
Lonchura striata (white-rumped munia) is the source of this 218-nucleotide non-coding RNA. Lineage: Eukaryota; Metazoa; Chordata; Aves; Passeriformes; Estrildidae. The record is from RefSeq and is a predicted model, not a curated record.